UGUUCGAAAGGGAAACAGCCCAGACCACCAGCUAAGGUCCCAAAAUAUAUGUUAAGUGGAAAAGGAUGUGGCGUUGCCCAGACAACUAGGAUGUUGGCUUAGAAGCAGCCAUCAUUUAAAGAGUGCGUAAUAGCUCACUAGUCGAGUGACACUGCGCCGAAAAUGUACCGGGGCUAAACAUAUUACCGAAGCUGUGGAUUGUCCUUUGGACAAUGGUAGGAGAGCGUUCUAAGGGCGUUGAAGCAUGAUCGUAAGGACAUGUGGAGCGCUUAGAAGUGAGAAUGCCGGUGUGAGUAGCGAAAGACGGGUGAGAAUCCCGUCCACCGAUUGACUAAGGUUUCCAGAGGAAGGCUCGUCCGCUCUGGGUUAGUCGGGUCCUAAGCUGAGGCCGACAGGCGUAGGCGAUGGAUAACAGGUUGAUAUUCCUGUACCACCUAUAAUCGUUUUAAUCGAUGGGGGGACGCAGUAGGAUAGGCGAAGCGUGCGAUUGGAUUGCACGUCUAAGCAGUAAGGCUGAGUAUUAGGCAAAUCCGGUACUCGUUAAGGCUGAGCUGUGAUGGGGAGAAGACAUUGUGUCUUCGAGUCGUUGAUUUCACACUGCCGAGAAAAGCCUCUAGAUAGAAAAUAGGUGCCCGUACCGCAAACCGACACAGGUAGUCAAGAUGAGAAUUCUAAGGUGAGCGAGCGAACUCUCGUUAAGGAACUCGGCAAAAUGACCCCGUAACUUCGGGAGAAGGGGUGCUCUUUAGGGUUAACGCCCAGAAGAGCCGCAGUGAAUAGGCCCAAGCGACUGUUUAUCAAAAACACAGGUCUCUGCUAAACCGUAAGGUGAUGUAUAGGGGCUGACGCCUGCCCGGUGCUGGAAGGUUAAGAGGAGUGGUUAGCUUCUGCGAAGCUACGAAUCGAAGCCCCAGUAAACGGCGGCCGUAACUAUAACGGUCCUAAGGUAGCGAAAUUCCUUGUCGGGUAAGUUCCGACCCGCACGAAAGGCGUAACGAUUUGGGCACUGUCUCAACGAGAGACUCGGUGAAAUCAUAGUACCUGUGAAGAUGCAGGUUACCCGCGACAGGACGGAAAGACCCCGUGGAGCUUUACUGUAGCCUGAUAUUGAAAUUCGGCACAGCUUGUACAGGAUAGGUAGGAGCCUUUGAAACGUGAGCGCUAGCUUACGUGGAGGCGCUGGUGGGAUACUACC
RNAcentral lists this ribosomal RNA (1195 nucleotides) under Staphylococcus aureus. RNAcentral's name for it is "partial 23S ribosomal RNA". It matches the Rfam family "Bacterial large subunit ribosomal RNA", at positions 1008 to 2204 of the family's 2925-position model. The record is from RNAcentral. Lineage: Bacteria; Bacillati; Bacillota; Bacilli; Caryophanales; Staphylococcaceae.